UGCCGGGGAUUCCCAUGAUGCAUUGAGUUUUUCCUUCCAGUCACCUUUCUUACUCACUAUGUGUUAAUAGACCUCUCUGCAUCGAAUCAUAUCUGUUAUUAAUCUCUGUCUCUCUUCCACAGCAUGUCUUUAUCCUGUUUUUCUUCUUUCACCCCAACUGGUCGCAGCAGAUGGCCCCGCCCCUCCCUGAGCCUAGUUCUGCCGGAGGUUUCUUCCUGUUAAAAGGGAGUUUUUCCUUCCCACUGUCGCCAAAGUGCUUGCUCAUAGGGGUCAUAUGAUUGUUGGGUUUUCUCUGUAUUUAUUAUUGUGCUAUCUACUGUACAAUAUAAAGCGCCUUGAGGAGACUUUUGUUGUGAUUUGGCGCUAUAUAAAUAAAAUUGAACUGAAUUGAAUUGAAUUGAAGUUCUUCGUACCUCGCUUACUACAUCCAAGAUCAAAUGACACAUCCAAGAUCAAAUCAUUGCGCUAACUUUGAGCUCGCUAAUCCGGUUCUCCGAACACACCUGUUGUUGACGAUUAGUAUAGCUGGAUGAAGUAAUCUGAGAUCACUGGGUGGCUUAAAAGGGGCUACGCAUCGAUAGUAGAAACAUUGAUCGGCAACCCUUUGAUUGGUCGGCGAAGAUGUCGAAGGAGCGCGCUCAGUAUUUUUCGGCAGCAGACCAAGAACUCUUGAUUGAGGGAUAUCAGGAGUUUCAGAGUUUAAUUAAAACGCAGGGGAACACUGCAAAGGCUGCAAAAGCAAGGAGAGAGGGCUGGCAGAAAGUUGCUGACAAAUUAAACUCGUAAGUAAUUAAUUAUAUUAUAUUACAUCAUAUCCUCUUUCACAUUAGAGCCACAACAGGACCCACUAGAACAUGGGAACAAGUAAAAGUGAAAUAUAAGAGUAUUCUACAGAAUGGUAAUAUUUAUCACUUAUAUUGCUUUUAGUCUCUUGAAAAGAGACCCUGAAAUAAUCUGUUUGUUUAUAACAGCAACCAAGAAAAGGGCAGAGCAAAUAAAGACAGGUGGUGGUCCUGCACCCCUCGUCACACCCGGCUGUUUGUACUGUGACAUUUAUUGACAUUGUGGGUUUUUUUGUGUGUAGUUUUACAUAACACUCCAUCACUUUUACCUGUUCCCAUGCAAGGGGUGACUGAAGCAUGCACAGUAAGUUGGGAGAUUUAGAUCGAUCGAUCUAUCUAUCUAUCUAUCUAUAUAUAUCUAUAUCUAUAUAUAUAUAUAUAUAUCUAUAGAGAGAGAGAGAGAGAGAGAGAGAGAGAGAGAUCUAGAUCUCUAGAUCUAGAUAUCUAUAUAUAUAGAGAGAGAGAGAUAGAGAUAGAUAGAGAGUGUUAAGUCAAUAAUACCCUCACGGGAAAAUCGAUAUCUCUCUAUGAGCACACUGUCGCGCUGAGCUAAAGGAUCCUGUCUAUCCCGCAAUAUCCGCUGAAUUCUGAAUACUCUCCUUAUCAGUCUUGCACCUUCCGCAAUGGGUUGCUCGCGUACAAACGGACAGGACAUGGCUGCGACAGUGUUAGAGUGAAUUGUUAAUGUUUGUCAUUUUUAUGCUUGCUAACUCUGAUGAUAGGGAUUCCACUGUCCUUCCCCCCAGAUUCUCGGGGUUCUGGGUAGGGGGCUGUAAUGUUUUAUUGUAGAUACAUCCUAUCUGAAAGAUCUGUUUGAUGUAAGCUUCCUGCCCAGCAGGAGGUCUCUCUUACACACACACACACACACACACACACACACACACACACACACUGCCUUGUCUUUGUAACCAAG
This is a long non-coding RNA of Oreochromis aureus, 1755 nucleotides long. Lineage: Eukaryota; Metazoa; Chordata; Actinopteri; Cichliformes; Cichlidae. The record is from Ensembl.